UACGUAGGGGGCGAGCGUUGUCCGGAGUUACUGGGCGUAAAGGGCACGCAGGCGGUGCUCCACGUUUCGGCUGACAGUCUUCGGCCUAACCGAGGAAGGCGUCGGAAAACGAGAGCACUUGAGGCAUCGAGAGGGACACGGAAUUCCGGGUGGAGUGGUGAAAUGCGUAGAGAUCCGGAAGAACACCAAAGGCGAAGGCAGUGUCCUGGCGAUGACCUGACGCUGAGGUGCGAAAGCUAGGGGAGCGAACAGG
This 253-nucleotide ribosomal RNA is filed under the name uncultured prokaryote. RNAcentral's name for it is "partial 16S ribosomal RNA". It matches the Rfam family "Bacterial small subunit ribosomal RNA", at positions 524 to 776 of the family's 1533-position model. The record is from RNAcentral.